AACGAACGCUGGCGGCAUGCCUAACACAUGCAAGUCGAACGAGACCUUCGGGUCUAGUGGCGCACGGGUGCGUAACGCGUGGGAACCUUCCCUUAGGUUCGGAAUAACUCCCCGAAAGGGGUGCUAAUACCGGAUAAUGUCUUCGGCCCAAAGAUUUAUCGCCUUUGGAUGGGCCCGCGUUGGAUUAGCUAGUUGUUAGGGUAAUAGCCUACCAAGGCGACGAUCCAUAGCUGGUCUGAGAGGAUGAUCAGCCACACUGAGACUGAGACACGGCCCAGACUCCUACGGGAGGCAGCAGUGGGGAAUAGUGGACAAUGGGCGAAAGCCUGAUCCAGCAAUGACGGGUGAGUGAUGAAGGCCUUAGGGUUGUAAAGCUCUUUUAACCGGGAUGAUAAUGACAGUACCGGGAGAAUAAGCUCCGGCUAACUCCGUG
RNAcentral lists this ribosomal RNA (433 nucleotides) under uncultured bacterium. RNAcentral describes it as "partial 16S ribosomal RNA". It matches the Rfam family "Bacterial small subunit ribosomal RNA", at positions 29 to 507 of the family's 1533-position model. The record is from RNAcentral.